Molecule: long non-coding RNA, 516 nt
Organism: Mastomys coucha (southern multimammate mouse)
Lineage: Eukaryota; Metazoa; Chordata; Mammalia; Rodentia; Muridae
Exons: 3
Source: RefSeq, a predicted model, not a curated record
GGCAGUAACCCAGAGUGGAGCCUUAGAUAAAGAUGCAUGAAGCCCAACGUGCAGACAUAGAUAGAGAUAAGUAAAGAGCUUAAAAACCACGGCCAGAAGUGCCCGAGUCAGAGACGGGAUGGCUGCUAGGCGAAUCCAUGCUGCCCAGGCCCCCGACUCUCCAUUCCCCACAGCCUGACUCGCUGACCCGCUGCCGCCCGAGCCUGACCCUGCUAGACCACAGCGCUGCUGGGACACGCCGCCCUGCCGGGACCCGCCGCACGCAGCUCUGCCUGGACCGGAAACCUGAGCCUGAAGAUCUGAGGAGCCAACCCGGAAGUAAACAGAAAGUGACGCCAGAGAAGUCAGAGCCCGAGCCUGCGAAGCGGGAGACAGCUGGACACAUGGAAGGGAAAAAUAAGCAAAAAUAGUGUCCAGCUCAUGGAAGAGGGAGGUCACCAAGGACAAGGAGAUCAUCAUAUGCACCAGCUUUUGUCAUGUGAACCGUGCUCCCCAACUUAACUGGUCAACAAAAGG